CCCUAUCUUAUUCAGUCUGGGUCCUUGGGAUGGGCAGACACCCACAGGCCUUAAUAACCAUGAGGUGAUAAUUGUGCUGGAAUUGUGAAUGAAUAAAGGAUGCAGCAGGAGCAAGGCUGUUAAUCUGGAAAUCAUUCAUCAGUGAGAAGGGCCGGAAUAGCUGCUGAUGCCUUCAACACUGCAGUCUGAUGACACGCUGUAUGGGAAAAUUCCUGAUACCAACAAGGCCCUAUCAAGUCCGCAGGACACAGAAGUCCUGCAGGGCUGUCAAGCAACUUGGGGGAAUCACAGAGCUGAGAAUCGGGCUUCAGGAAUG
Molecule: long non-coding RNA, 316 nt
Organism: Mobula hypostoma (lesser devil ray)
Lineage: Eukaryota; Metazoa; Chordata; Chondrichthyes; Myliobatiformes; Myliobatidae
Exons: 3
Source: RefSeq, a predicted model, not a curated record